CCUGACCUCAGAUAAUCUGCCUGCCUCAGCCUCCCAAGGAGCUGGGAUUACGGCGUGAGCCACUGCACCCGGCCACUUGUUUUCUACUCUUGUUUGUAAGUUACUUGGGGGCCAGCACCUCCUCUUAAUCACCUUACUGUUGCCCACACACUGACCAUUGAGCCGUCAGCACAAGAUGAUCAAUAGAGAUGCGUUGAUGAUUUGAGAGGCCAAUGACUAGUUCCACUAUUCUGAGUCAGGAAUGGGCUUGUCUGAACAAUGGCGAGGAAAAGGCAGGGCUCACAAAUCAGCUUGCUUCUGGCUUUUACUCCCUUUCUCUUCCUGACUGUCUACUUCCUCCUGGAUAUCCUGCAGAUAGGCUGUCACCCCGUCAAUGGCUGCAUGUUUAUAUAUAAAGAUGGGAAGCUGAUAUUAACUGAUGAGAGUGUUGUAUCAAUGGGUGAUAGAUGGUGGGAAAUGAGAAGGCUUGCAUGAUCAGGAUGGCCAGCAAAGGAUCUGUAUUGAAAAAAAAUCACAACGUGCUAGAGUUGGAGGGCCCCUCUUAGGAACUCUUAGAGAUGGCUCCUACAUAACCUCUGCAGGACUCUCCUAGGGUCAGGGAGCUCAGGGCCUCUGGACACAGCCAUGGGGUUGUUAGCGCCGAGAUUAAUGACCUCUUCUAUUGAGCUACAAUCCACGUGAUAGUACACUCAUUUGUGGUUUACAGUUUUGUGCUCAAUAAACCCAGAACCAGACUUCUCCACUAGCCAUGGGACUUCCUUUGAACCAUAACUAAUGGAGUUUUUUAAAAAGGAAAACUGCCGUGUCCUCCUUCAGAUAGUCUAAUGACACAAUGUCUAACAUCUCACCAUCCUUGUCACUUUUCUCUAGAUGCUCAAUCCACAUUUAAAACACAAAAAUGAACACCAUCCCCAUUUUUGUUUUGACUCAUUAUACAAGUAAAACAUACUCAUUAUCAAAUCUUUGGAAAAUACAUAAAAAUGUAAAAACAAAUUAAAUUUGCUCAUAACCACACUUCACAUUUUGGCGUAUUUUCUUCCUAUCUUUUUUUCUUAUUUAUUUAU
RNAcentral lists this long non-coding RNA (1064 nucleotides) under Homo sapiens (human). Its description in RNAcentral is "HSALNT0188493". The record is from RNAcentral. Lineage: Eukaryota; Metazoa; Chordata; Mammalia; Primates; Hominidae.